AUUGAACGCUGGCGGCAUGCUUUACACAUGCAAGUCGAACGGCAGCGCGGGCUUCGGCCUGGCGGCGAGUGGCGAACGGGUGAGUAAUGCAUCGGAACGUGCCCAGUAGUGGGGGAUAGCCCGGCGAAAGCCGGAUUAAUACCGCAUACGACCUGAGGGUGAAAGCGGGGGACCGAAAGGCCUCGCGCUAUUGGAGCGGCCGAUGUCGGAUUAGCUAGUUGGUGGGGUAAAGGCUUACCAAGGCGACGAUCCGUAGCUGGUCUGAGAGGACGACCAGCCACACUGGGACUGAGACACGGCCCAGACUCCUACGGGAGGCAGCAGUGGGGAAUUUUGGACAAUGGGGGCAACCCUGAUCCAGCCAUGCCGCGUGCGGGAAGAAGGCCUUCGGGUUGUAAACCGCUUUUGUUCGGGAAGAAAUCCUCUGGGCUAAUACCCCGGGGGGAUGACGGUACCGGAAGAAUAAUCACCGGCUAACUACGUG
Molecule: ribosomal RNA, 484 nt
Filed under: uncultured bacterium
Lineage: Bacteria
Description: partial 16S ribosomal RNA
Rfam family: Bacterial small subunit ribosomal RNA
Source: RNAcentral